This 408-nucleotide transfer-messenger RNA is filed under the name Caldilineaceae. RNAcentral describes it as "QEUY01 sp003577365 Standard tmRNA". It matches the Rfam family "transfer-messenger RNA". Rfam says of the family: Bacterial tmRNA, also known as 10Sa RNA or SsrA, is named for its dual tRNA and mRNA-like properties. The record is from RNAcentral. RNAcentral also lists the same sequence under 1 other name. Lineage: Bacteria; Bacillati; Chloroflexota; Caldilineae; Caldilineales.
GGGGAUGAACGGUUUCGACGGGGCAGGCUGUCUGUCGACUGCAGGCCGUAGAGCGUCGACUACGUUAAAAAGGCGCAAACCCUAUAAAUGCCAACAACACUGGCAAGCUCUUCAACUUUGGUUUCGCCAACGCUGCUCCUGUAGCGGUGGCCGCCUAAGUAAGGGCACGGGUCCUCGCGUAGGACCCCGGCCCGUUCCGGUGGUGCUCUCAGGCCGGGCGGUGUCCGUCAUAUACUGGUGAGCUGCGAUGGCCGGAUGCCGAUAGGGCCAUCUAAGACCGUCGGCUAGCCGGACAGCGAAUCCUGUCGCUUGGAGUCCGUCCGGUGAAACCUGAAUAAAGCGGCUAUGUCUGUAGAUGUCGGCGGACGAGUGUUUCGGACGCGGGUUCGAGUCCCGCCAUCUCCACCU